UCCGUAGGUGAACCUGCGGAGGGAUCAUUACAGAGUUACUACUCCAAACCCAUUGUGAACCUUACCUAUGUUCUGUUGCCUCGGCGGCGUGGUCAGCGCCCCCUCUGAAAAGAGGACGAUGCCCUCCCGCCGGCAGCACCAAACUCUUUGAAUUUUACAGCGGAUUACAGUUCUGAUUUGAAAACAAAAAACAAGUUAAAACUUUCAACAACGGAUCUCUUGGUUCUGGCAUCGAUGAAGAACGCAGCGAAAUGCGAUAAGUAAUGUGAAUUGCAGAAUUCAGUGAAUCAUCGAAUCUUUGAACGCACAUUGCGCCCGGCAGUAAUCUGCCGGGCAUGCCUGUCCGAGCGUCAUUUCAACCCUCGAACCUCCGUUUCCUCAGGGAAGCUCAGGGUCGGUGUUGGGGCGCUACGGCGAGUCUUCGCGACCCUCCGUAGGCCCUGAAAUACAGUGGCGGUCCCGCCGCGGUUGCCUUCUGCGUAGUAAGUCUCUUUUGCAAGCUCGCAUUGGGUCCCGGCGGAGGCCUGCCGUCAAACCACCUAUAACUCCAGAUGGUUUGACCUCGGAUCAGGUAGGGUUACCCGCUGAACUUAAGCAUAUCAAUAAGCGGAGGA
This 614-nucleotide ribosomal RNA is filed under the name Scedosporium boydii. Its description in RNAcentral is "eukaryotic LSU rRNA". The stretch from base 200 to 353 matches the Rfam family "5.8S ribosomal RNA". Lineage: Eukaryota; Fungi; Ascomycota; Sordariomycetes; Microascales; Microascaceae. The record is from RNAcentral.